GAAAUGCGAUAAGUAGUGUGAAUUGCAGAAUUCAGUGAAUCAUCGAAUCUUUGAACGCACAUUGCGCCCUUUGGUAUUCCUUAGGGCAUGCCUGUUCGAGCGUCAUCUAAACCUUCAAGCCCUGCUUGGUGUUGGGUGCCUGUCCCGCCUCCGCGCGCGGACCCACCUCAAAUCCAUUGGCGGCCCCCGCGUCGGCCACGAGCGCAGCAGAAACGCGAACUCGUGAGCCCGUCCGGGCGGCUCCCAGAAGCUACACCCACCCAGUUUGACCUCGGAUCAGGUAGGGAUACCCGCUGAACUUAAGC
RNAcentral lists this unclassified non-coding RNA (305 nucleotides) under plant metagenome. Its description in RNAcentral is "partial contains 5.8S ribosomal RNA, internal transcribed spacer 2, and large subunit ribosomal RNA". The stretch from base 1 to 105 matches the Rfam family "5.8S ribosomal RNA", at positions 50 to 154 of the family's 154-position model. The record is from RNAcentral.